GAUGAACGCUGGCGGCGUGCCUAAUACAUGCAAGUCGAGCGAACAGACGAGGAGCUUGCUCCUCUGACGUUAGCGGCGGACGGGUGAGUAACACGUGGAUAACCUACCUAUAAGACUGGGAUAACUUCGGGAAACCGGAGCCAAUACCGGAUAAUAUAUUGAACCGCAUGGUUCAAUAGUGCAAGACGGCUUUGCUGUCACUUAUAGACGGAUCCGCGCCGCCUUAGCUAGUUGGUAAGGUAACGGCUUACCAAGGCGACGACGCGUAGCCGGCCUGAGAGGGUGAUCGGCCACACUGGAACUGAGACACGGUCCAGACUCCUACGGGAGGCAGCAGUGGGGAAUCUUCCGCAAUGGGCGAAAGCCUGACGGAGCAACGCCGCGUGAGUGAUGAAGGUCUUCGGAUCGUAAAACUCUGUUAUUAGGGAAGAACAAAUGUGUAAGUAACUAUGCACGUCUUGACGGUACCUAAUCAGAAAGCCACGGCUAACUACGUG
RNAcentral lists this ribosomal RNA (497 nucleotides) under uncultured bacterium. RNAcentral's name for it is "partial 16S ribosomal RNA". It matches the Rfam family "Bacterial small subunit ribosomal RNA", at positions 28 to 507 of the family's 1533-position model. The record is from RNAcentral.